AGAGUUUGAUCCUGGCUCAGAUUGAACGCUGGCGGCAUGCCUAACACAUGCAAGUCGAACGGUAACAGCGGAGCUUGCUCCGGCUGACGAGUGGCGGACGGGUGAGGAACACGUAGGAAUCUGCCCAGUAGUGGGGGACAACAUGGGGAAACUCAUGCUAAUACCGCAUAAUCCCUAAGGGGGAAAGACUUCGGUCGCUAUUGGAUGAGCCUGCGUCAGAUUAGCUUGUUGGUGGGGUAAUGGCCUACCAAGGCGACGAUCUGUAGCUGGUCUGAGAGGACGACCAGCCACACUGGGACUGAGACACGGCCCAGACUCCUACGGGAGGCAGCAGUGGGGAAUAUUGGACAAUGGGGGCAACCCUGAUCCAGCAAUGCCGCGUGUGUGAAGAAGGCCUUCGGGUUGUAAAGCACUUUCAGUAGGGAAGAUAAUGACGGUACCUACAGAAGAAGCACCGCUAACU
RNAcentral lists this ribosomal RNA (463 nucleotides) under uncultured bacterium. Its description in RNAcentral is "bacterial SSU rRNA". It matches the Rfam family "Bacterial small subunit ribosomal RNA", at positions 8 to 502 of the family's 1533-position model. The record is from RNAcentral.